This 710-nucleotide ribosomal RNA is filed under the name uncultured bacterium. Its description in RNAcentral is "bacterial SSU rRNA". It matches the Rfam family "Bacterial small subunit ribosomal RNA", at positions 94 to 823 of the family's 1533-position model. The record is from RNAcentral.
AGCGGCGGACGGGUGAGUAACGCGUGGGUAACCUGCCCUAUACACACGGAUAACAUACCGAAAGGUAUGCUAAUACGAGAUAAUAUAAGAGAUUCACAUGGAUUUCUUAUCAAAGCUGGGGCGGUAUAGGAUGGACCCGCGUCUAAUUAGCUAGUUGGUAAGGUAACGGCUUACCAAGGCGACGAUCAGUAGCCGACCUGAGAGGGUGAUCGGCCACAUUGGAACUGAGACACGGUCCAAACUCCUACGGGAGGCAGCAGUGGGGAAUAUUGCACAAUGGGCGAAAGCCUGAUGCAGCAACGCCGCGUGAGUGAUGAAGGCCUUCGGGUCGUAAAACUCUGUCCUCAAGGAAGAUAAUGACGGUACUUGAGGAGGAAGCCCCGGCUAACUACGUGCCAGCAGCCGCGGUAAUACGUAGGGGGCUAGCGUUAUCCGGAUUUACUGGGCGUAAAGGGUGCGUAGGUGGUCUCUUAAGUCAGGAGUGAAAGGCUACGGCUUAACCGUAGUAAGCUCUUGAAACUGGGAGACUUGAGUGCAGGAGAGGAAAGUGGAAUUCCUAGUGUAGCGGUGAAAUGCGUAGAUAUUAGGAGGAACACCAGUAGCGAAGGCGGCUUUCUGGACUGUAACUGACACUGAGGCACGAAAGCGUGGGGAGCAAACAGGAUUAGAUACCCUGGUAGUCCACGCCGUAAACGAUGAGUACUAGGUGU